GGUUUAAAUCCAAUGUUUGCAAAGGGAGGGAGAGAGCAGAAGAGAGAGAGAGCGCGCGAGAGAUGGGAGCAGGCAGGCAGCGUCUCUGAUUUCUUUUCUUGCACACAACUGGUAAGAAUCAUCAGCACCAAUCUGCACAGGGCUCAGAGCAGUCCUCCAAGGCACGCAUUGGCUCCACUCUCCUGAGCGACGGAAGGAGACUUUCCUGCUUGGAAGGCUUGACUCCAAGGGGAGUCGAAGCCGGCCCCUCACUCACCCCCUCACCGGAGCACAGCCCUGCGUGUUGCUAUCUGUAUGCACGGACAUAGUGUCAAUGAAUGAGAAAGGACACAGUGAACUCAGACCUGGCUGAAGAGUGCAGUCAUGGGUUCUGCUGGGGAAGCAGCAUCACAACACAUCACAACAGCUCAUUGCUCUAGAGUCAGACUGCCUGGCCUCCAAUCCUGUAUCCAUUCCCGACAGUCGGUGUGACCUGAAACUCUCCAAGCUUAAUUUCCUUAACAAUUCCCACCCCCCAACCUCAGAGUUGACAUGAAGAUCUGAGACCAUGGACACGAAGCCAUGAGCAUAGUGCCUGGCACACAGUAAUAACUCAACACAGGCCAAGACUUUGUAAGCUGCGUGGCAUAAGCAGCAAUUGAAGGAGUCGUCACUCCCUCUCUCCAAGUUUCUUCAGGUUCAGGUAAUAGAGACUUUUGCCUUCUCAGGAAAAAUAUUAAGAAGCUGCUGUCUGUCCUUUGCUUCCCACUGCUCUUCCCCCACAGGAAUAAGAUUGAUUUCUCUAAUUAGAGAGAUGACAAAGGUCUGACAUGUCUGAGUCCUUGUUUCUCCACUAGGCAGGGUUAAUGUAUUACCAGGCUCUGCUCACACACAUUUAUU
Molecule: long non-coding RNA, 879 nt
Organism: Homo sapiens (human)
Lineage: Eukaryota; Metazoa; Chordata; Mammalia; Primates; Hominidae
Source: Ensembl